Molecule: ribosomal RNA, 253 nt
Filed under: uncultured bacterium
Lineage: Bacteria
Description: partial 16S ribosomal RNA
Rfam family: Bacterial small subunit ribosomal RNA
Source: RNAcentral
UACGGAGGGUGCGAGCGUUAAUCGGAAUUACUGGGCGUAAAGCGUGCGCAGGCGGUUUUGUAAGCCGGAUGUGAAAUCCCCGGGCUUAACCUGGGAAUGGCAUUCGGGACUGCAAGGCUGGAGUGCGGCAGAGGAGACUGGAAUUCCUGGUGUAGCAGUGAAAUGCGUAGAUAUCAGGAGGAACACCGAUGGCGAAGGCAGGUCUCUGGGCUGACACUGACGCUCAGGCACGAAAGCGUGGGGAGCAAACAGG